This 433-nucleotide ribosomal RNA is filed under the name uncultured bacterium. RNAcentral describes it as "partial 16S ribosomal RNA". It matches the Rfam family "Bacterial small subunit ribosomal RNA", at positions 29 to 507 of the family's 1533-position model. The record is from RNAcentral.
AACGAACGCUGGCGGCAUGCCUAACACAUGCAAGUCGAACGAGACCUUCGGGUCUAGUGGCGCACGGGUGCGUAACGCGUGGGAACCUGCCCUUAGGUUCGGAAUAACUCCCCGAAAGGGGUGCUAAUACCGGAUAAUGUCUUCGGACCAAAGAUUUAUGGCCUUGGGAUGGGCCCGCGUUGGAUUAGCUAGUUGGUAGGGUAAAAGCCUACCAAGGCGACGAUCCAUAGCUGGUCUGAGAGGAUGAUCAGCCACACUGGGACUGAGACACGGCCCAGACUCCUACGGGAGGAAGCAGUGGGGAAUAUUGGACGAUGGGCGAAAGCCUAAUCCAGCAAUGCCGCGUGAGUGAUGAAGGCCUUAGGGUUGUAAAGCUCUUUUACCCGGGAUGAUAAUGACAGUACCGGGAGAAUAAGCUCCGGCUAACUACGUG